AAGAAGUUGAUCACAACAAACAUAUACCCCUUUGUUUGACCGUGAAAAAUUUCUCCCAUCCCCUUUGUUUGUAUAAGAAAACCCGUUGUCUUCGGACAACGGGUUUUCU
RNAcentral lists this small RNA (109 nucleotides) under Bacillus sp. SG-1. Its description in RNAcentral is "RNA Staph. aureus E (RoxS)". It matches the Rfam family "RNA Staph. aureus E (RoxS)". Rfam says of the family: It was shown to be regulated by the presence of nitric oxide (NO). In Bacillus subtilis it controls expression of genes with functions related to oxidative stress and oxidation-reduction reactions and it was renamed RoxS (for related to oxidative stress). Lineage: Bacteria; Bacillati; Bacillota; Bacilli; Caryophanales; Bacillaceae. The record is from Rfam by way of RNAcentral.